This 799-nucleotide ribosomal RNA is filed under the name uncultured bacterium. RNAcentral describes it as "bacterial SSU rRNA". It matches the Rfam family "Bacterial small subunit ribosomal RNA", at positions 215 to 1006 of the family's 1533-position model. The record is from RNAcentral.
GCGCUAAAUGAUGAGCNUAAGUCGGAUUAGCUAGUUGGUGGGGUAAAGGCCUACCAAGGCGACGAUCUGUAGCGGGUCUGAGAGGAUGAUCCGCCACACUGGGACUGAGACACGGCCCAGACUCCUACGGGAGGCAGCAGUGGGGAAUAUUGGACAAUGGGCGAAAGCCUGAUCCAGCCAUGCCGCGUGUGUGAAGAAGGCCUUUUGGUUGUAAAGCACUUUAAGCGAGGAGGAGGCUACUAGUACUAAUACUACUGGAUAGUGGACGUUACUCGCAGAAUAAGCACCGGCUAACUCUGUGCCAGCAGCCGCGGUAAUACAGAGGGUGCGAGCGUUAAUCGGAUUUACUGGGCGUAAAGCGUGCGUAGGCGGCUUUUUAAGUCGGAUGUGAAAUCCCCGAGCUUAACUUGGGAAUUGCAUUCGAUACUGGGAAGCUAGAGUAUGGGAGAGGAUGGUAGAAUUCCAGGUGUAGCGGUGAAAUGCGUAGAGAUCUGGAGGAAUACCGAUGGCGAAGGCAGCCAUCUGGCCUAAUACUGACGCUGAGGUACGAAAGCAUGGGGAGCAAACAGGAUUAGAUACCCUGGUAGUCCAUGCCGUAAACGAUGUCUACUAGCCGUUGGGGCCUUUGAGGCUUUAGUGGCGCAGCUAACGCGAUAAGUAGACCGCCUGGGGAGUACGGUCGCAAGACUAAAACUCAAAUGAAUUGACGGGGGCCCGCACAAGCGGUGGAGCAUGUGGUUUAAUUCGAUGCAACGCGAAGAACCUUACCUGGCCUUGACAUACUAGAAACUUCCAGAGA